AAAUUACUCCCUCCGUCCCAAAAUUCUUUUCUUGGAUUUGUCUAGAUACGGAUGUAUCAAGUCACAUUUUAGUAUUAGAUACAUCCGUAUCUAGACGUACAUCCGUAUCUAGACAAAUCUAAGACAAGAAAUUUGGGACAGAGGGAGUGGUUG
Non-coding RNA from Triticum aestivum (bread wheat), 153 nucleotides. The record is from Rfam. Lineage: Eukaryota; Viridiplantae; Streptophyta; Magnoliopsida; Poales; Poaceae.